CAGCAGUAGGGAAUCUUCCGCAAUGGGCGAAAGCCUGACGGAGCGACGCCGCGUGAGCGAUGAAGGCCUUCGGGUUGUAAAGCUCUGUGGGGAGGGAAGAAUAAGGGUGAGUUAAUAGCUCAUCUGAUGACGGUACCUCCUUAGCAAGCACCGGCUAACUCUGUGCCAGCAGCCGCGGUAAGACAGAGGGUGCAAACGUUGUUCGGAUUUACUGGGCGUAAAGCGCGUGUAGGCGGCCUUGCAAGUCGGAUGUGAAAGCCCACGGCUCAACCGUGGAAGUGCAUCCGAAACUGCAUAGCUUGAGUCUCGGAGAGGAAGGUGGAAUGCUUGGUGUAGAGGUGAAAUUCGUAGAUAUCAAGCAGAACACCUGCGGCGAAGGCGGCCUUCUGGACGAUGACUGACGCUGAGACGCGAAAGCGUGGGGAGCAAACAGGAUUAGAUACCCUG
Molecule: ribosomal RNA, 447 nt
Filed under: uncultured Myxococcales bacterium
Lineage: Bacteria; Pseudomonadati; Myxococcota; Myxococcia; Myxococcales
Description: bacterial SSU rRNA
Rfam family: Bacterial small subunit ribosomal RNA
Source: RNAcentral